This 74-nucleotide transfer RNA is filed under the name Mariniblastus sp. RNAcentral's name for it is "tRNA-Met". It matches the Rfam family "tRNA". Rfam says of the family: Transfer RNA (tRNA) molecules are approximately 80 nucleotides in length. Their secondary structure includes four short double-helical elements and three loops (D, anti-codon, and T loops). Lineage: Bacteria; Pseudomonadati; Planctomycetota; Planctomycetia; Pirellulales; Pirellulaceae. The record is from RNAcentral.
AGCGGGAUAGAGCAGUGGGUGAGCUCGCGAGGUUCAUGUCCUCGAGGUGGGUGGUUCGAUUCCAUCUCCCGCAA